This 71-nucleotide transfer RNA is filed under the name Lobopterella dimidiatipes. Its description in RNAcentral is "tRNA-Leu". The record is from RNAcentral. Lineage: Eukaryota; Metazoa; Arthropoda; Insecta; Blattodea; Blattellidae.
ACUAUUUUGGCAGAAAAGUGCAAUGGAUUUAGAAUCUGUGAAUGUAGAAUUUUAAUAUUUUAUAAAUAGUA